RNAcentral lists this transfer RNA (70 nucleotides) under Escherichia coli. Its description in RNAcentral is "tRNA-Ala". It matches the Rfam family "tRNA". From Rfam's summary of the family: Transfer RNA (tRNA) molecules are approximately 80 nucleotides in length. Their secondary structure includes four short double-helical elements and three loops (D, anti-codon, and T loops). Lineage: Bacteria; Pseudomonadati; Pseudomonadota; Gammaproteobacteria; Enterobacterales; Enterobacteriaceae. The record is from RNAcentral.
GGGGCUAUAGCUCAGCUGGGAGAGCGCCUGCUUUGCACGCAGGAGGUCUGCCACUUGCAUAGCUCCACCA